GAUGAACGCUAGCGGGAGGCCUAACACAUGCAAGCCGAGCGGUAGAGUUUCUUCGGAAACUUGAGAGCGGCGCACGGGUGCGUAACACGUAUGCAACCUACCUUUAUCUGGGGGAUAGCCUUUCGAAAGGAAGAUUAAUACCCCAUAAUAUAAUGAUUGGCAUCAAUUAUUAUUGAAAACUCCGGUGGAUAGAGAUGGGCACGCGCAAGAUUAGAUAGUUGGUGAGGUAACGGCUCACCAAGUCAAUGAUCUUUAGGGGUCCUGAGAGGGAGAUCCCCCACACUGGUACUGAGACACGGACCAGACUCCUACGGGAGGCAGCAGUGAGGAAUAUUGGACAAUGGGUGAGAGCCUGAUCCAGCCAUCCCGCGUGAAGGAUGACGGUCCUAUGGAUUGUAAACUUCUUUUGUACAGGGAUAAACCUACCCUCGUGAGGGUAGCUGAAGGUACUGUACGAAUAAGCACCGGCUAACUCCGUG
RNAcentral lists this ribosomal RNA (479 nucleotides) under uncultured bacterium. Its description in RNAcentral is "partial 16S ribosomal RNA". It matches the Rfam family "Bacterial small subunit ribosomal RNA", at positions 28 to 507 of the family's 1533-position model. The record is from RNAcentral.